Molecule: ribosomal RNA, 554 nt
Filed under: Plasmodium chabaudi chabaudi
Lineage: Eukaryota; Apicomplexa; Aconoidasida; Haemosporida; Plasmodiidae
Rfam family: Eukaryotic small subunit ribosomal RNA
Source: RNAcentral
UGCUUCCUUCAGUACCUUAUGAGAAAUCAAAGUCUUUGGGUUCUGGGGCGAGUAUUCGCGCAAGCGAGAAAGUUAAAAGAAUUGACGGAAGGGCACCACCAGGCGUGGAGCUUGCGGCUUAAUUUGACUCAACACGGGGAAACUCACUAGUUUAAGACAAGAGUAGGAUUGACAGAUUAAUAGCUCUUUCUUGAUUUCUUGGAUGGUGAUGCAUGGCCGUUUUUAGUUCGUGAAUAUGAUUUGUCUGGUUAAUUCCGAUAACGAACGAGAUCUUAACCUGCUAAUUAGCGGCGAGUACGCUAUAUCCUCUAUCGGGAGUUUGGUUUUGACGUUUAUGCGAACUAUGCUUAAUCAAUUGGUUUACCUUUUGCUCUUUUGCAUAUGCUUCUGCAUUUACUUCUUCCUCUCUUCUGAUAAGGAUGUAUUCGCUUUAUUUAAUGCUUCUUAGAGGAACGAUGUGUGUCUAACACAAGGAAGUUUAAGGCAACAACAGGUCUGUGAUGUCCUUAGAUAUACUAGGCUGCACGCGUGCUACACUGAUAUGUAAAACGAGU